RNAcentral lists this long non-coding RNA (378 nucleotides) under Elaeis guineensis (African oil palm). RNAcentral describes it as "long non-coding RNA (EGUI_LNC040094)". The record is from RNAcentral. Lineage: Eukaryota; Viridiplantae; Streptophyta; Magnoliopsida; Arecales; Arecaceae.
CUUCAACCAAUUUGAAUUUGAUUCAAAUUAAUAAGAGGAUAAGAAGGAAACAAAUCAGGGAUAAAAGGAAAGAAAGAUGGUGCCAACCUAUCCUUCGCACAUUGAGAAAGAAGUUGGUGUGAGAAGAAAUCAGAUUUGAUUUCUUUCUCACACCACUCUUCUUUCUUGAUGACAAAAUUAUUGGACAUCCCUCUUGUUUGGCACGUAAUAAUUUGCGGCAUCUCCUUAAACCCUAAUUCCAAUGCCCCCUAUAAAAGAGGGUCCAAAAGUUGGAUGCCUUGAGUAAGAAAGAAAAAAGAAAAAGGAGAAGAGAAAAUUAUUUUCUGACAUCGAGCCUCCUCCUCUUGUUCUUCUUCAAUUCAUUUCAUAGUGUCUGUG